CCAUUACACACACAGACUUUUCCACACAGUUACAAUGCUGCAAAACAAAGCAAAAGUGGCCCGUAGUGCCGUUGCCAUGCAACCGUCCAAACGGAGUCAGUAAACAGUCUGUUGAGUCUGCGUGCAGCGAGAGACUCGGCUCUUGUGUUUGUGCAAUCCCCUGUUGCGUUCAUGUCCUUUUCCAUAAAUUUGCUGGGCUGCACAAACAACAAGCAUGCUAUGCCAACAGAGUUCACUCACAGAUUGUAGCGGUCAACAAAACUGGAACAUCUUCUAUUUUAGGAGCAGAGAAAAAGGGUAUAUUUCACCGUAAGCUCUGGGCCUGUGUCAUCUCAAACCCCAUUGCUGAAUAAUAGAUGGCAUGUGCUGUUCUCUUGUUCCCAAAGGAGCUUCCUCUUCCCUCAGGCCCACUGCGAUCACCUACUGGGAGGCUCCUGAACACGGUUCACUUAUUGCCCAAAUGGAUCCCAGUCACCACUUGAUUUCCCUUUUUACUACUCCGCAGGCCCAGUUAAACCACACAAACUGUGCUGGGUUGGAAGGAAAAGAGGAAUCUGGUGUUGUCUGCAGCAUGGGAAAGAAUAUUAUUAGUCGUAAAAAGAAAAAGCCAUUUGGUAUUUAGGCGUUACUUCAACUAUGUGCACAUUUGACCUUGUGGAUAUUUCAAAAAGAAACUCAAUAGACACACUCUGGUGUAUUUAAUUUGUCCAUAUUAAAAAUGCAUUGCAUGUAA
This is a long non-coding RNA of Carassius carassius (crucian carp), 733 nucleotides long. RefSeq lists it as uncharacterized. NCBI's taxonomy places the organism in Eukaryota, Metazoa, Chordata, Actinopteri, Cypriniformes, Cyprinidae. The record is from RefSeq and is a predicted model, not a curated record. The transcript is spliced from 2 exons.